Molecule: long non-coding RNA, 484 nt
Organism: Amphiprion ocellaris (clown anemonefish)
Lineage: Eukaryota; Metazoa; Chordata; Actinopteri; Pomacentridae
Source: Ensembl
CAGGUGCGCCAGGAGGUCAACAUCACUUGAGUCCUUCCACUGCCAUCUUCACAGGUUCAUUCCAGGAACGAGCGCAAACAGUCUGAAUUUUCAGCUGUACCUCCUGAAAGGCCUUUAUAGAUGGAACCAGGACAGAGAAGCUGCUUCUCUGGCAGUCAAGCCACCAUCACUGCUGAGCUACUCAGGGGACCUUGUACAGUGUGUGAACAAUUACAGUACCAAGGUACUUGGCAGGAAGCUCGUCCCAUCUUUUCAGCCUCCUUCUGGUACACCGGAGAGCUAAUAGGUAUUGAUUACCUGUUCAGACAAACUGGAAGGGCCAUGCAGAACAUUGAGCCUGACACAGAGGAGACUGACCAGAUGCUGGAGGACAUAGGCACUGAGGAGGAGCUGGAAGAUGAGGGUUUUGAGGAUGCCAAUGUGGACCCCACUGUUGGCCUUUUAGACAUCACAGACCCAUCCUCUCAGCCAUCGCCACCUCAGC